UACAGAGGGUGCAAGCGUUGUCCGGAUUUACUGGGCGUAAAGAGCGCGCAGGCGGUCGUUCAAGUCGCGUGUGAAAGCCCCCGGCUCAACUGGGGAGGGUCACGCGAUACUGAUCGACUCGAAGGCAGGAGAGGGUAGUGGAAUUCCCGGUGUAGUGGUGAAAUGCGUAGAUAUCUGGAGGAAUACCGGUGGCGAAGGCGGCAUCCUGGACCGACAUUGACGCUGAUGAGCGAAAGCUAGGGGAGCAAACGGG
This 253-nucleotide ribosomal RNA is filed under the name uncultured bacterium. Its description in RNAcentral is "partial 16S ribosomal RNA". It matches the Rfam family "Bacterial small subunit ribosomal RNA", at positions 524 to 776 of the family's 1533-position model. The record is from RNAcentral.